UACGUAGGCAGCGAGCGUUGUUCGGAGUUACUGGGCGUAAAGCGUGCGUAGGCGGUGGUCCAAGUCUGGUGUGAAAUCUCCCGGCUUAACUGGGAGGGUGCGCCGGAAACUGGGCCGCUGGAGUACGGGAGAGGCAAGCGGAAUUCCAGGUGUAGCGGUGAAAUGCGUAGAUAUCUGGAGGAACACCGGUGGCGAAGGCGGCUCUCUGGGCCUGUCCUGACGCUCAUGCGCGAAAGCUAGGGGAGCAAACAGG
This 253-nucleotide ribosomal RNA is filed under the name uncultured bacterium. RNAcentral's name for it is "partial 16S ribosomal RNA". It matches the Rfam family "Bacterial small subunit ribosomal RNA", at positions 524 to 776 of the family's 1533-position model. The record is from RNAcentral.